RNAcentral lists this ribosomal RNA (301 nucleotides) under uncultured bacterium. RNAcentral's name for it is "partial 16S ribosomal RNA". It matches the Rfam family "Bacterial small subunit ribosomal RNA", at positions 509 to 808 of the family's 1533-position model. The record is from RNAcentral.
CAGUAGCCGCGGUAAUACGAAGGGUGCAAGCGUUAAUCGGAAUUACUGGGCGUAAAGCGUGCGUAGGCGGUGAGUUAAGUCUGCUGUGAAAUCCCCGGGCUCAACCUGGGAAUGGCAGUGGAUACUGGCUCGCUAGAGUGUGUCAGAGGAUGGUGGAAUUCCCGGUGUAGCGGUGAAAUGCGUAGAGAUCGGGAGGAACAUCAGUGGCGAAGGCGGCCAUCUGGGACAACACUGACGCUGAGGCACGAAAGCGUGGGGAGCAAACAGGAUUAGAGACCCCGGUAGUCCCUGUCUCUUAACC